RNAcentral lists this unclassified non-coding RNA (1128 nucleotides) under Hevea brasiliensis (rubber tree). Lineage: Eukaryota; Viridiplantae; Streptophyta; Magnoliopsida; Malpighiales; Euphorbiaceae. The record is from RNAcentral.
UUUUUUUUUUUUUUUUUUUAUCUUCACUGACGACUUUUUAUUUAAUUUCCACACCCAUAUCACCACCAGCACAACCACCACCCCCACCACCCGCUGCCAAUAUGUAUUAGUUGGAAUCGUUUUUUGUUAGUUUGUUGGUUAGCUGGUUGAUCCUGCUCCAUUAUAUUGUUUACCGAAACAAAUGAUAUUAAUUAUUAUUAAAUGCAUGAUUACAUGAGACAUCAUGUUUUAAUAUUAUUUUAGACCCAUUAAUUGUAUCCCACCUUCCAUACCGUACAGAUAGAUUGAUCUGGUGGUGGGGCAUCCACCAAUCAGCACAGUUUCAGCCUAAACUUAGUGAUUGUGAGAUACAAAUAUGAUAAUGAUGCAUCGGGUUAGCAAACAGUGGAGGGCAUGUGCUAAACAAAAAUGGAUGCUGAGGAGUGAUGCUCUUAUUCAAUCAUGACCAUUCAAUUAAAUGAAAGUCUCUCUAUCAAAUGAUAGUAGAUAGGACAUGUCUAGUAGGUAAGCCAUCAAGGAGAGGGAGGCACUUCACCAUUCACAUUAUCUAAGGGCCAAGAUUUUGAAUGAUGCCAAUCCUAGCCCUUGUGUAAGGUCAUUAUCAUUUUUUUCCAUUUAACCUUUUUCUCUGGGGACAACCUACCAUUGCUCAAAAAGAUAAAUCAAACCCUUACUGUGAGAACAGAUGGAUAAUAAUAAUAAUAAUCAACAUUAUAAAAAGCAGAGGCCACCAUUCUUUGGAAGGACUAUUCCCACCAUAACCCAUUAAAAAAAAUGUUGGAUAAGCUGAACCUGGUAGUACCAACUGUUCUUUUUAUUGUUUUCGUUGAAUAUACAACAACCCCUUCUCUUCUCUUACCCUAUCACCAUUGAUAUCUACUACUUUAUAGGUAACCACACAUGUGAUACUAAUGAUUCAUCAAAGAAAAGAGGAGAGAAGAAUACACAUACUUGCUACUCCCACAGGCGCAAAUGGAUAGAUAGACAUUGGACAAGAAAGAAAGCCUAAGCUUUGCUUCCCAUUACUUAUUCAAUUGCACAGUCAGAUCCCACUUUGAUGAUAAGUUUGCUUUUUUCAUCCUGCCAGAGAGAAUACCAACAAACAAAGGAGAUGGAUUUCUCUCAUAA